Molecule: long non-coding RNA, 4445 nt
Filed under: Mus musculus (house mouse)
Lineage: Eukaryota; Metazoa; Chordata; Mammalia; Rodentia; Muridae
Description: long non-coding RNA chr11:54670862-54675307
Source: RNAcentral
GUCUCAUUGUAGACUGGCUUGGAAUUCCUCCCAGGUCAUAUCGCACAAGUGCAUAACUGCAUAAGUGUACACCACCACACACCACCCCUGCUUUGUUACCUCUUUAUUUUCCAAGUUGAAUUUGCUAGUCAAUUUUUCUCCUAAAAUACUUCCUUAGAGAAAUUUCUUCACUUAGAAAUGGAUUUACAUAUCUGUAUGUUCCUUGUAAUUUUUCAGCAUUUAAAGGAGUGGUUCCAAAAGUGUGUAGAGACUCUGUUCUUAAGACCAGUCCCUACACUUCCAAAGACAGAAUAGAAAGUUUGAAUGGAACACGUCGUGUUCCAUAAACUGCUUAGUAACACCAUCCUUUAAUAGUAGGCAGUGGUGGCUCACAUCUUUGAUUCCAGUGCUCGGGAGUCAGGUGGAUCUCUCUGCAUUUGAGUUCAGCCAUGUAUACAGAAUGAGUUCCAGGACCUCCAGGGCUAUAUAGAGAAACCCUCUCUUAGAAAACAAACAAACAAAAACAAAAACAAAAAAAUCAACUAAUGGCUAGACGGGUGUUAAAAAUGCAGUUGAUCUAAAGCAUGUUUUAAAGUACAUGCUAUAGAGGUGUCUGGCCUUCAGGACUCAAUGUGUCCUUCCCAGUCCUUCAUUUCAUUAAAGCCAUUUUUUACUGUUAAGAUAUAAUUUUUUCCUGGUAAAUUUUUCUGUUCUGUUCUGUCUGCAUAAAUUCUCUGACUCUCAACUGUUGUCUUUUUUUCUGUGCUUUCCUAUUCAAAUACAUGCUUCAAUGUUUGUGGCUCUUGCUUACAGGAAGAAGAGGUGGCGGAGUCUGGGGUAAGUGGGGAAAUGAACAACUGGAAUGAAGGUUGUGCAUCUCUUAACAUGUGCUGCAUCCUUUUCAUUAAUGCACGCAAACCAGAUAGCAUGCCUUCUAUUAACUCCGUCAGCCUACAUUCUGACAAAUGCCUUUUGCUAACAAGGUGAAAGUAGUGAUGGAACUAGCCUUGUAUUGAUCUCAGUUUUGUUUGUUUUGUUUUUCCAUUAUUGGCAUCCUGUAGUCCCUUUUUAGAUUUAAAUUUAACAGAUUCAUGAGAUGUAGACAAUAAUAACAAAUAUUUGUUGCAUACUUCCUGUGUCCUCUACACUGUUGUAAGCUCCCAAAAUGAAUAACCUUUAAAAGUCUUUUACCCUAUGAGCUGGUCUGUUAUCCCCAUGGUACAGAUGGGGAAGGUAAAUUGCCCAGUCUUGCAGCUUAUUGAUGGUGUAUCCAAACCUAGGCAGUCUGCUUUAAAAGCUGCCUACACUUUCUCUAAUUUCAGUGCCUGUCUUAUGAAAGAGAACAUAUAUGUUGAUGUAUAAAAAGUCUGUUUGUAAGGGUUGCAUUUUUUAUUAGUUUUACAGAGAGACGUAUUUACUUAAUCUGUAUUGUCAAAGUGAAUAGAGGUUUUAAUCCCUCAUCAGAUCCACUGAAUGCCUGAAACUUGAAGCUUAAAUUGAAAUUUACUUUUAAGUUUCUACCACCUUUGAAUAAAAAGAUUCCCUUUUCUCCCCUAAAACUUCUUAACUGCUCAGCCUUUGUGGUUUAAGUAGGUUCUGGACUCUUAGUUCUGCAUUGGUAGCCAUCUGGUUUAGAGCCACAGGCAGUUAAAGAUCGUAUGCAUCAUUUUCCUAGACCUUUCUAUUUUAAGUAAGGAAACAGUUGGUACUAUAGGUGCAUGGAAUUGCAUACAGAGACCACAUAGAAUUUUGAUGUUUAAAACUAAUGAAUGUGAAGUUAGAUACUUAGGCUACAUAUAAGAAUUUUUUUAGCCAUGUCUUUCUUUGAGUCUUAUUUGUGGUCUUGUUUUUCAUUUGGUGAACUUGACUCUCCUCCUCUGGUGUGUUUCUUGUGUGUUUUCUUCUACGUCAUACCUUUGUGUCUUGGUCUUCCCUGGUUCUUCUUACUGAAAGUAGAAAUUGAUGCAUUACCACCUCAGUAGGGCAUCUUAUGACCUAGUGACUGAGCUACAGCAGCCACUGUUCAACUGAUAGCAUUUUUUCCUCUAGUAUUUGGAGCUUGCAAACAGCAGGUGUUCUUAUUUCACAUCAGUGUUUGAUGCUUUGCAGUGGUUCAGAAGAUACUUUAUCAUCAUCUGUCGUUCUCAUGCAUUAGAACUUUGUAGUUUUGUUUACAAGCUGGCUUUUUUAUAUUGGAUAACAACUAAGAUAAAAUAAUUAAAUGCUAGCAUUAAAAUUUUGUUUAUAAAUGUUAAGACUUUGUUUCACUGUGAGUUCAAUCUCUGGAAUCCACAUAAAAGUUGGAGAUAAACCAGUUCCAUACAGCAGUCCUUUGACCUUCACAAAUCCACUGUAGCAUGCAUACACAUGCACACUCACACAUAAUAAUAGUCACCACAUUAUAAGAUGUUUUAUCUUGUGUACCAAGAAAAGCCAGUGCAGUACCUUGUUUGUUUGAGCUUAUUGAAAUGCUUCUCACGUGUCUGGAUGCUGGUGGGAUCUUGGGACUUUCUCAGCACGGAGAGGAGACUUGGGAGGGUCAUAGCUGAUAGAACAGGCAGCAGAGGCGAUAAGGAAUCAUCGAGGGGAGGGAAGUCAGGCAAUGGUCAAGGGAACUUAGCACCCCUAACUGUCUAACAUUUCUUCUACUAUAACUUACUAGCAACCAGCUGCGUCUUGAUUUAAUUUUUUUUUUUUUUUUAAAGAUUUAUUUAUUUAUUUAUUAUAAGUACACUGUAGCUGUCCUCAGACACUCCAGAAGAGGGAGUCAGAUCUUGUUACAGACGGUUGUGAGCCACCAUGUGGUUGCUGGGAUUUGAACUCCUGACCUUCGGAAGAGCAGUCGGGUGCUCUUACCCACUGAGCCAUCUCACCAGCCCGCGUCUUGAUUUAUGUCAGCUUCACAGAAUAAAGACCGACUAAUGAUUAUCCAAGUGGUGCUUUUCAUUACAUGUCCAGAGGUACAAGUUCAGUCACAAUUAGAAAAGGCAAACAGAACAGAUUAUUCUUGUUAUUAUUAACCAUAUAAUUCCAGAUUAAAGAAAGUAUCUGAACUGGUCUUUUUAUGAAUAGCAAAUACCUAACCUUUUACUGUGUGUUUUAUCAUCUAUGCCAUAAAGUAGAAAAAGUUUGUUUUAGUCAACCUAUCUUAUUUACUGAAUUCUAUUCCUCCAGGGGUGUACCCUGUAUGAUUCCCUUUCUUUAAACUACGUUUGCAGAGUGCUCUAGGCCUAUAAUAAAAAGAGACCUAUAACCUAUUCUUCUGGCCAGUCAGGAUUUUUCACUUGUGUCUGUUUACCCUGCACCAACUAUACUGUUUGAGUUUGCUCAAGGGCAGCUAUCCCAGGCAGAUUCCUGGAGUAAUGGCUUCAUUAAGCAAUGUGCUUUCUGUGCUUAACCAACUCCAGAGCGUAAGGUGGACUUACAAAUAGUGGCCAGAUAGAGUUCAUUUAGGAUUUUGCUAAAAAAGACUCAGACACAACCUUUCUCAGGAAAAGACGUAAAAUGAACCAUAAUUCAGAAAGUCCCCAAGAAUGCAGCACACAGAGACCACAUUGUAAGAUAUUUACUGAAUUUUUCAGGUUUCAUUCUUUUUAAUCAGUUACUUCUUAAAGAUUAAAGGGUAAUUCACUAAUUACUAGAUUUUUCUUCCAACCCAUUCUGCAAAAUUUGCAGUCUUUUCUGUGGGUUACUCGCAGCCACAUCAUCAUUUCUGCCUGACUCGAAACUACAAGUUGCCAUCAAUGUGUCAAGAGAUCAUUCCUCAUGUCUUUAAUCCCAGCACUCGGGAUGCAGGAACAGGUGGAUCUCUGAGUUCAAGGACAUCCAGGGCUACACAGAGAAAGCCUGUCUUUAAAACAAGACUAUAUAAAAUGCAAGGCAUAACUGUACUAGUUCUCCCCCACCCCCAAGAAUUGUAGAGGUGUUGGUUAGUUUGGGUUUUUUGUUUUUGUUUGUUUUUUUAAUUUCAGUAGCCUCCAAAAUCGUAGGAUUAUGACAUUUUCAUGCACGUAUCCCUGACCUUUGCCUCCUUUCUCCCCCUCUUCUGGGAGCCCUACUUCAAAAUCCUUAAAAAUGUAUCAAAAAAUAAAUAAAAUACCAAUAACAGGUUUUCAGUUUUGCCUUAUAUGAUUUACAAUGAAAACAUUAAGAUUUGGUGUCUGUUUUAAUCUAGGUGUGUGAGCAUUGAAGGACAAGUAGCCCAUGUUUUAGAAUAUUUUCUGUAAAUAUGAUGCUAAUAUUAAAAAUAGAGAUAUUCUUCCCUUUAAAUUAAAGACCAUUUGAGCCAUGCACCUAGAGUCAUGAGUGGUACCUCGAGUCCACAUAAAGGCAGGAGGAGAGAAGCAUGCCUCAGACCUCACAGUCUUGCUGGGGCAUGUUCCCACCUCUGCACACACAUGGUAAUAAGUAAACAGACACACAAUCCUCUGUAAGCAUUGAGUUUGCUGGCCUGUUAGAAAUGACCU